CUUGAAGUGGUGUGCUGUUACUCUGCAUGGGCAAGUGCCUGAAGCCUUCUGCUGGGAUAUGGUGCUACUCUGCUGCAAACAGCUGUGAAGGCACAUGGGCCAUUCAAGAGAAAUGCCUUUUACUCAGAAAUGGUGGAUGCUGAUGAAGAUCAGAAAUUCUGCAGAGAGUGAAGAAGCCCUAAGUAACAAGCGCUAAAGCCAGAACUGGUAUUUACAAAGGGAUUUAGGUUUAGAAAUUGAUAUCGUCGUGUGUCUUGAAGAUGGGGAUAGUCAUGAGUGGGAAAGUAAAGCACUUUAAAAACAUAUUGACCAAGUUAGUUACACAUAAAAGGACUUUGGAGCCAGAAAGAAGAAAAAAGCACUUCUAAUUAUAAAUCAAAGAGACUCCACCAACUUCAGAGAAGUUGGAGAGAAAGCCAGGAUGAGAGAAGCUCCAUGUUGUGGAGAAAUUGAGCCCAGCAAAAGGACACUGAGAGGAUCCUAUCCCAUCUAUUUCUUAAAAGUGGUCAGGGGAGGAUGAUGAGGUAAUGAUAUAAGUAUUUGUUUUGUCCAUGCCUACCAGUACCUUA
Zonotrichia leucophrys gambelii is the source of this 569-nucleotide long non-coding RNA. RefSeq lists it as uncharacterized. Lineage: Eukaryota; Metazoa; Chordata; Aves; Passeriformes; Passerellidae. The record is from RefSeq and is a predicted model, not a curated record. The transcript has 3 exons.